This 447-nucleotide ribosomal RNA is filed under the name Flavobacterium sp. RNAcentral's name for it is "bacterial SSU rRNA". It matches the Rfam family "Bacterial small subunit ribosomal RNA", at positions 414 to 863 of the family's 1533-position model. Lineage: Bacteria; Pseudomonadati; Bacteroidota; Flavobacteriia; Flavobacteriales; Flavobacteriaceae. The record is from RNAcentral.
GUCCUAUGGAUUGUAAACUGCUUUUAUACGAGAAGAAACACUGCUUCGUGAAGCAGCUUGACGGUAUCGUAAGAAUAAGGAUCGGCUAACUCCGUGCCAGCAGCCGCGGUAAUACGGAGGAUCCAAGCGUUAUCCGGAAUCAUUGGGUUUAAAGGGUCCGUAGGCGGUUUAAUAAGUCAGUGGUGAAAGCCCAUCGCUCAACGGUGGAACGGCCAUUGAUACUGUUAAACUUGAAUUAUUAGGAAGUAACUAGAAUAUGUAGUGUAGCGGUGAAAUGCUUAGAGAUUACAUGGAAUACCAAUUGCGAAGGCAGGUUACUACUAAUGGAUUGACGCUGAUGGACGAAAGCGUGGGUAGCGAACAGGAUUAGAUACCCUGGUAGUCCACGCCGUAAACGAUGGAUACUAGCUGUUGGAAGCAAUUUCAGUGGCUAAGCGAAAGUGAUAA